GCUAAACAGCUAGCCCAACUACCCAAACCCAAAAAUCCAUCAAUACACCCUCAUACACAACCAUAAACUUAAUCAAACCAUUCUCCCCCUCAAGUACGGGCGACAGAAACAGGAACACGGAGCCAUAGACAAAGUACCGCAAGGGAACGCUGAAAGAGCCAUGAAACAGUCCAGUAAAGCACUAAAAAGCAGAGACUAAACCUCGUACCUUUUGCAUCAUGAUUUAGCCAGUACCCCCAGGCAAAAAGAAUUUUAGUCUGACACCCCGAAACUAAGUGAGCUACUCCAAGACAGCCUAACAUAUAAGGGCCAACCCGUCUCUGUGGCAAAAGAGUGGGAAGAGCUUUGAGUAGAGGUGAUAAAUCUACCGAACUUAGUAAUAGCUGGUUGCCUAAGAAAUGAAUAAAAGUUCAGCCUUCCAGCUUCUCUUCUCACACGGCCCACGCCCCUAACAGAUACAAAGAAACUGAAAGAGUUAGUCGAAGGGGGUACAGCCCCUUUGAACCAAGAAACAACUUUUACAGGCGGGUAAAGAUCAAAAUAACUAAAGGAAACAUGUCUAAGUGGGCCUAAAGGCAGCCACCUAAGCAGAAAGCGUUAAAGCUCAGACACCCCCCCCCCCCCAAUCCCGAUAGCGCUUUCUCAUCCCCCUCUCCCUUAUUAGGCUAUUUUAUGCAAACAUAAAAGCACCCAUGCUAAUAUGAGUAAUAAGAAAAGUAAAGCUUUUCUCCCAGCACGCACAUCCAUCGAAACGGACCUUCCAUCGAACAUUACCGGCCCCAAGCGAAGAGGGCAAACGAACACGAAAUAAACAACCAGAAAAUCCUCCAAAAAUAACCGUUAAGCCUACACUGGCGUGCUCACUAGGAAAGACUAAAAGAAAAAGAAGGAACUCGGCAAACACAUCGCCUCGCCUGUUUACCAAAAACAUCGCCUCUUGUCAACUAAAAAUAAGAGGUCCCACCUGCCCAGUGACAUUACGUUUAACGGCCGCGGUAUUCUAACCGUGCAAAGGUAGCGCAAUCACUUGUCUUUUAAAUGAAGACCUGUAUGAAUGGCAUAACGAGGGCCUAGCUGUCUCCUUUUUCUAGUCAAUGAAAUUGAUCCCCCCGUGCAGAAGCGGGGCUACACCCAUAAGACGAGAAGACCCUGUGGAGCUUUAGACACCAGAGACAGGCCUUGUUCAACGCCUCCAGAUAAAAAGGCCCAACUGAAGGAUUCUGCCCCAAUGUCUUCGGUUGGGGCGACCCUGGAGAAUACAAAACCUCCACGCGGAGCAGGAGAACUUCUCCCACAACUAAGAGUUGCUACUCUAAGCAAUAGAAUCUCUAACCUAAAGAUCCGGCAAAGCCGAAUAACGAACCGAGUUACCCCAGGGAUAACAGCGCAAUCCCCUUUCAGAGUCCCUAUCGACAAGGGGGUUUACGACCUCGAUGUUGGAUCAGGACAUCCUAAUGGUGCAGCCGCUAUUAAGGGUUCGUUUGUUCAACGAUUAAAGUCCUACGUGAUCUGAGUUCAGACCGGAGUAAUCCAGGUCAGUUUCUAUCUAUGAAACAUUUUUUCCCAGUACGAAAGGACCGGAAAAAAGAGGCCUAUGCCAUAGACACGCCUCCUUCUCACCUAAUGAAGUCAACUAAAUUAGACAAAAGAAUGUAGUCUUAAGCCCAAGAUAAUGGCUU
This 1679-nucleotide ribosomal RNA is filed under the name Channa ornatipinnis. RNAcentral describes it as "16S ribosomal RNA". It matches the Rfam family "Bacterial large subunit ribosomal RNA". Lineage: Eukaryota; Metazoa; Chordata; Actinopteri; Anabantiformes; Channidae. The record is from RNAcentral.